GAUGAAGAACGCAGCGAAAUGCGAUAAGUAAUGUGAAUUGCAGAAUUCAGUGAAUCAUCGAAUCUUUGAACGCACAUUGAGCCCGUCAGUAUUCUGGCGGGCAUGCCUGUUCGAGCGUCAUUACGCCCCUCAAGUCCCCUGUGGACUUGGUGUUGGGGAUCGGCGAGGCUGGUUUUCCAGCACAGCCGUCCCUUAAAUUAAUUGGCGGUCUCGCCGUGGCCCUCCUCUGCGCAGUAGUAAAACACUCGCAACAGGAGCCCGGCGCGGUCCACUGCCGUAAAACCCCCCAACUUUUUAUAGUUGACCUCGAAUCAGGUAGGACUACCCGCUGAACUUAAGCAUAUCAAUAAGCGGAGGA
RNAcentral lists this unclassified non-coding RNA (358 nucleotides) under soil metagenome. RNAcentral describes it as "partial contains 5.8S ribosomal RNA, internal transcribed spacer 2, and large subunit ribosomal RNA". The stretch from base 1 to 120 matches the Rfam family "5.8S ribosomal RNA", at positions 35 to 154 of the family's 154-position model. The record is from RNAcentral.